This 483-nucleotide ribosomal RNA is filed under the name uncultured bacterium. RNAcentral's name for it is "partial 16S ribosomal RNA". It matches the Rfam family "Bacterial small subunit ribosomal RNA", at positions 30 to 507 of the family's 1533-position model. The record is from RNAcentral.
AUUGAACGCUGGCGGCAGGCCUAACACAUGCAAGUCGAGCGGAUGAAGGGAGCUUGCUCCUGGAUUCAGCGGCGGACGGGUGAGUAAUGCCUAGGAAUCUGCCUGGUAGUGGGGGAUAACGUCCGGAAACGGGCGCUAAUACCGCAUACGUCCUGAGGGAGAAAGUGGGGGAUCUCGGACCCCCCGCCAUCCAAUUAACCUAGGUCGGAUUAGCUAGUUGGUGGGGUAAAGGCCUACCAAGGCGACGAUCCGUAACUGGUCUGAGAGGAUGAUCAGUCACACUGGAACUGAGACACGGUCCAGACUCCUACGGGAGGCAGCAGUGGGGAAUAUUGGACAAUGGGCGAAAGCCUGAUCCAGCCAUGCCGCGUGUGUGAAGAAGGUCUUCGGAUUGUAAAGCACUUUAAGUUGGGAGGAAGGGCAGUAAGUUAAUACCUUGCUGUUUUGACGUUACCAACAGAAUAAGCACCGGCUAACUUCGUG